Long non-coding RNA from Macaca mulatta (Rhesus monkey), 1704 nucleotides. RefSeq lists it as uncharacterized. The record is from RefSeq and is a predicted model, not a curated record. Lineage: Eukaryota; Metazoa; Chordata; Mammalia; Primates; Cercopithecidae.
UUAGGUCAGAAACUGGCAGCAAUUUCUGGAAUGUCAAAAGUAAAAAUAAGAAGUGGAGAAUUAACUCUGCUAGCACAAAAUGAGGAGCUGUCACCAUUAAACGAACAUGACAAGAUGUUUUUCAGACCUGAACCGGAAGAGAUGGUGCCAGGACCCUAUGAAGAAUCUUCACCUGCCCCACAUCAGUGAUAAACAAAUAUCUUUCUGGAACAGAACCCACAAGAUCUCUGAGCAUGGCUUCAGGAAAACCAAAUCGUCUCUGCCCUCAGAGUCCUGACCUCAUGAAUUAGAAGAAGUGAAAGAAGAUGGCUUCCAAAUUAUGUUUUAAAACUUGUGAGGAUUUAAACUCUAUCCAUAGAACUUUCCAUUAAACACUGAAGCAUCCUUGAAACAGAAUAAAUUGAUGUCUGUUUCAUUUAUUUAUUCAAAUACACCUCUAUACUCAAAAAAUAAUCCCCUACUAGAAUAAUUUUUCAGAAAAUAUUUUUGAAAACUUAGAUGAAACCAUAAUUUAAGCUGUGAUAUCUCUAUUUUGGCAAAUGUUUCAAGGUGUCUGGAGGUGGGGCCUUGGGCAUCUAGCCUCUAUGUAAUGGGCAUGCCAAUUUCUGCAAGCUUAACUUUGAAUCAUUACUAUCUACUCACUUGGAGAAGAAAAACUCCAGGACCAAAGAUCAGACACAGUCUUUUCUUUUCUCUAUGACUUUUGUUCUAACUUUCAUUCCUCUCUGCUUUUCUUCUCAAAAUAUGUGAUAUCCAACAUUUUCUUGUUCACAGUUACCUUGAAUUAAUAAAUAGUCACAACCUUUCAGAUCCCUCUGCUUUGAAGACUUUUUCACUAUAAGAAAUCAGCCAAAAUUUUUAAGAGUAAUGUUGAAAUUUUCUUUUGGAAGGUGUUAGAAAAUGAGGUACUCCCUUGCUUUUGAGACUCUUUUAAGAAAAGAGGUUAUGAUUUUCCUAAAGCACAUUUUCUAUUUCUAGACUUAUUACAAAUCCUUGUUAGAUAAUGUACUCUUCACAAUAAAUAGAGAGUUUACUAACAGAGAAAAUAUUAUUGCUUCCCUUAAGAGUUAUCUUUCCCCUACCUCCUUCUCUUUCCCCCGGCCCUCUCCUCCCUCUCUCUCCCAACCCCCAUCAUUCUGUCUUGAAAAGAUUGCCUUAAUGUUUGGGCAUUUAUUAUACAUGAGUAUUUCUCUAUUUCUUACAUGAUUGUUGAUUUUCUUGACUAUUGCAAAGUUGUUAAAAGUUAUAAAUAGAUUUUGAAAUAAAAGGAGUUAGUUAUGAUAAGAGUUUUUCAGAAACUGCCCAGGCUGUAAUUUUCUCAGAAUAUUAAGAUAAAUGUUUAAGGAAAUAAUCAUUGCCGAAAAUUAUUCUGGUAGACAACUUUUUAGAUAAUUUUUGGUUUUCACUAUAAGAAAAUUUGCUUUUAUUAUAGUGAAUUUCCUCCUUCUCUACUAGAUGUGAGAUACAAGUAUACAUAAAUCUAUGUAUUCUAUUGAGGCCCAUUAACCUGAGGCAGUGGGCAGUAGCUCAGACCUUAGACUAUAUCUUGAAAAUGUAGUGUCUCCAAGUUCUAAUUCCUCUUUUACAUUGUUACUUGACCUUGAAGAAAAACACGUGAACUGUUUCCUUUUUUUCUUAUUUACUAGGAAAUUCGAACAAAAUUUGGAAACUAUCUGUAGCAAUUAUAUGCCUCAGGAAUGCAUU